UCUCAUUAAGGAUAUACUUCAACAUAUACAAAAGAAUGAAAAGUUAGGGAAGAGCUCUUAUGGCGUUUUAAUUAAUCUGCAAAAUAAAAUCAGAACAUCAAGUUGUUCAAGCUUCAGUUGUAGUAGAACACUAUACAAAGGCUUCUCGAAGAAAUUUUUAGCUUUGAGCAUCCAGGUAUGUUAGAUUUAUCUUAUUUUUAGAUUUUAUUAUUUACGGUAAUUGUGUGUUCUUAUGCUAGUCUUGUACAGGUGAUUGUAGUUUUUGUAUCAUUUGGUAUAGAUAUCAUGUCUUAAUUAUCUAAUUAGGAUCACGUUCCAGUAAAGUUCUAUUUAGUUAACUCUUAAUAUGAUGUGGUAUUUAAGUUGUGAAAUCUUGGAUUCAUCCUUAAUUAAGAAAGUUACUCGAAAGGUUAUUUAAAUAUAUUUUAACUAGGAUUUAUGGUCAACAUAUAUUAUAUUUAUGUCAUUUAUUGUUAAAUUUGGUAAUAUUGUGGCAUCGAUCACAGUAUGAUUUGGGUUUCAAUUUUACAGUUGGAUAUGAUUACUACAAGUUUCGGUUUGAGUUUGGCAUCUUGUUAUGAUAUUAUGUGGGAGUUCUGGUACUAAUUACAAUUGUUCUAGGAGUUGUGGCUCCUCAAAGUUUCGGUUUGAGUCCGGUAUUUGAUUAUGAGUUUUGUCGUAUAUCUUGUAGGUGGUCUCUCAUUAUUACCCACAAUGUUUUAUUUGAAUCCAGCAUAUAACCUCUUGUUAUUAUCCACCACUACCGGUUCAAUCUUGGUGUCUGGCCUCUCGUUACUACCCAUUGGUGUUGGUUUGAGCCUGUGCACAUCUGGAAGGCUAAUAUGGUUUCAUGGGAUUGAUUCAGCUAUGAAUUAUUUAUAUUUUUCUUUAAAAUUACUUCUUGUGUGUUCCACUAGCUUAUGGGGGCACGUUGGGUUAGUUUUCUUUUUUACUGUCUGGUGGGCUUAUGGGAACCAGUUAGUUAAUGUUUAGUUUGCCUUUUAUCAUUACAUUAUUUAUCUUUCUGUAUCACUUUUACUUAAGCCUUUAUUUCAUUUGUGUAGAUCGAUAGUUCUUUACUUUUCUAUCCCUAUUUAUUAUUGACUUAGAUUACAUGUGUGCGUUUUAGCUAGACUUUUUUUGUAUAGAGACUAGUCGGCG
RNAcentral lists this long non-coding RNA (1161 nucleotides) under Capsicum annuum. RNAcentral describes it as "long non-coding RNA (CANN_LNC002261)". The record is from RNAcentral. Lineage: Eukaryota; Viridiplantae; Streptophyta; Magnoliopsida; Solanales; Solanaceae.